UGAAAGUACGGUACUCAGAAAUUCUGGAAGGAAUUAGGCAUUUAAUGUGUCCACAAACUGAGCGGGGAAGGAAGGCUUCUAUUACAUAAGACAGCACUCCACCUUCAGGUAUUAUGGAAGAUGCUGUUGAAGGUUUUAGUGUUUUAAUGAACGAAACACAUUCUUUGUGUGUGUGUCUCUGGAGAAAUCUCGAAUGCUACUGUCUUGCUUUGGCUACUUUGCAGGGGACGUUCUUAUAUUUAGCAUCAGCAUAAAAAGGUGUUCAAAGGUGUGACUUCCUCUUUCAAGCCAAGAAGCCGUUUACUUGUCUGAAUUGUUGUGGAACAAUAUAUGUGAUAAUUGUGUACUUUGAAGAUUUUAUAUCAAAACUUGAGCACAGAUAACUGGAAGAAAUGUCAACAUUGCUAAUUUGUGUAUCCUAAACCACACUUCGAAAAUUGAAGACAGUUUCAACACUAUCUGAGGGUCUAAAUCAGUAAUUAUUUGCUAUUUGCAGUAUUUCAAUAGAAAAAUUUUUGGCUAUGCAAAUGAAGGUACUAACCUGAGUAAUCUAAGUUUUCUUUUAACCCCCAAAUUUUGAUUCUUUGUUAAAAUAAUGUUUGAAAAUAUCGUACCAUGCAGGGCAAUUACUGAAGGUCAUGAAAAUGUCAUCGUGUUUUAUUCUAAAAACAAAAAUGAAUCUAUGCAGAAAAUUUCCGUGUCCCAUGAACUUCAUAUUAGUUUAAUUUUAAAAGUACUGUCUCCAAAAGAAACUAAUUUUCACUUCCACACAAGGUGAUUAAAUACCAGUCAGAGAUUGUUUGAGGUGGUAGAGUUGGAAAUGAGGUGGUGACCUGGCCAUGUCCCUGGGUGCAGCCUUGCUGUCCUUUUCCAGCCAGCAUGUCUUUUCCCAUCGCAUGGGGACUUUGGCUUUUGGGCUAUUUCUCCUCCUCUAGACCUAAAGUCCCUGUGGGGGACGCUCUAGAUGCGCACUUCCUUGACUGUCUCAAAUCCAGUGUCUUCCAUGUACUCCAGCUACCAAGUCCUCUAAGUACCUCUAAGUCUUGCCCUCUCUUGAGAUGCUCAACUUCUGAAAACUCUUAGUGCCUCCAUCCCGCAAGCUCCUUCCUUCCGGGUUGCAAACCGGACUCCCACUGUAAUCUUCAAUGCAAGCGAUCUCCAAUGCUUUUCCUCCUGCGGGUUUGGCAGGUGACUUUGUAGCCCAUUCUACCAGGAAAAUAGAGGUCAUAAGGAUCUCCUCACGUCCUCCCCCAUCUCCCCUGUACAGACUUUUCUGUGUUUACCCAGUCAUCCAAUAAAUCUUCUUAAGCAUCUACUGUGUCUGGGUACUUUGCUGGAUACUCAUAGGUGGUAAAUAGAGCAGAUCCUUGCUCGCUUGAAACUGUCAUUCUUGUGGGAGAAAACCAACUAAAAGCAAACAUAAUAUAUUGUAAAAUGUAUGAUAAAUGAAUAGGGUAGAAUUAUAAAGAAAAAUCAAGUUAGACUGAGAACUUAGGGAAAUAAAGAGAGAUGGCCUCCUUGGGGCAGUGACUAAUGUCUCCAGCUGUGUCCUGAAUCCCAACUCCCAGUGCCUCUCUCUCCUUGUGAGUGUUACUCCCUUUUCUUACUUUUAUCUUCAGUCUCUCUCUGUGAGCUUUUUUCUUUUUUAGUAGUAUUUUAAGAAUGCCUUAACCUCCCUUGUCCCUGCAUCCUCAGCUCACCUGUAGUGACAACCACGUCUCUCCAGGCUUCUUAAACUGGUCUCCCCUUCCUGCUCAGCUCUUUGCAAGCUGGCCAGAGUCUCCUCAAAGUUCAAGGCCCGUGACUUCCUGAACAAGCAAUCUUUUUUUUUUAUUUUAAUUUUUAUUAUUAUGCUUUAAGCUCUGGGGUACAUGUGCAGAACGUGCAGGUUUGUUACAUAGGUAUACACGUGCCAUGGUGGUUUGCUGCACCCAUCAACCCAUCACAUUAGGUAUUUCUCCUAAUGCUAUCCCUCCCCUACCUCACUCCCCGCCCCCCACCACAGGCCCCGGUGUGUGAUGUUUCCCUCCCUGUGUCCCUGUGUUCUCAUCUGAACAAGCAAUCUUAUGGAUACCCACUAGGUUUCUCCGUGGCAUUUGAUGAGGUUCUUCUAUUCCUUUCUGAUGGGUUUUUUUUUUCACCCCUGGUUGCCACCUUCUGGUUUUCCUUAUUCCUCCCUGGCAUCUCUGCUACCUCUUGGGGUUACCCAGGAUUCGCUGUGAUCCCUUUUGUGCUCUGUCUAUUUGGGUGAACCAUGUUCCCACAGCUUCAACUCUCACCAAUAUGAAGUGAGUCCCAGAUUGGCAUGUAAGCUAGCUUCAGCAUGCUCCUGUGUUCCAAUCAGUUACCUGCAGUCUGGUGCGCUUACCCAUGCCCUUUAGGCCAAAAAAACACCCCAAAAUAAAUCCAAAAUUGAUUUUAGUUUUCACCACCCACCCCAUAUCCGCUUCAUUGUUAGCCAAGAUUUGUCCGUUUUUUUUUGGCAGUGGUUCCACCGUUCAUGGAGAGAUGUUGGAGCAGGGGUCUCACGGUGAUGCCGGGCUCCCGCACUGCCCACAUGCAGGCCAUCACCAGAUCCUGUUGCUUCUCUGUGCUGUGAAAUUCCACAAAGGUCCGCUGUAGUCACGCUGGCCUUGCCUUGCUUUAGAGCCCAAAAGUGGCAAAAUGGUGGCCGGUGUGCCACUUCUAGCAGUAGGCAGCAGUGUUGUUGGCCUGAACAAAGUAUAUACAACUUGAGUUCAUAUUUAGAAAUCUGGAGAUGCCACUUGGAUAUAUAGCUUCUCCUAAAAGCCAGAAGACCUGGAUGAGGCAGUGUGCAGUGGCUCAUACCUGUAAUCCCAGCACUGUCGGAGGCUGAAGCAGGCGGAUCGCUUGAGGUCAGGAGUUCAAGACCAGCCUGAUCAACAUGGUAAAACCGCAUCUCUACUAAAAAUACAAAAAUUAGCUGCACCUGUAAUCCCAGCUACUCGGGAGGCUGAGGCAGGAGAAUCGCUUGAACCCAGGAGGCAGAGGUUGCAGUGAGCUGAGAUGGCACCACUGUACUCCAGCCUGGGCGACAGACUGAGACUCUGUCUCAAAACAAAAACAAAAACAAAAAACAAAACAAAAAAAAACCUGGAAUAAGAGGCUUACAUUCCCAUGUGGCAACACUCAGCUGCUGCUGGGUUUCCAGUGCCUGAAUACACUGGAGGUAGGUUGCUUUCUGGUUCCCCCAGGCCUAUGACCCUUGCUUAUAGUAGCAUUCUGGCUCCCGUGGGCUUCAGAGCUAGAGACCCUAGGCUGAGACGAUCAUCGACAGCCUGGGAAUGCCUAGUGCUUACUGCACAGUGUCGUGCACCUCAUGUUGCAUCCCUUCUAACUCUCUUCCAUGUUAUUGCUGGUGUGACUCUCCUCCUGCUGCCCCAAAUCCAAGUCUUCUUGGGUCCCGCCUAAUAAAAUUCAAUGGCUCCCUCUUGAUCUGGGCUUAAACCCCUGACUCUAAAGGAGUGGCCAUGUCAUAUCACAAGUUGGGUAUCUCAGAUUGAAAGAUGAGCUCUCCGCUAUCUUUAUACAGUGUUGUACCCGAGUUUCUGAAGAUGCUUUUGAGCUUCUGUAGGGUAGUUAAUACAGAGUUCUAGUGUUGAUGGCAGUCCUGCUGUUUACAAACCAUUUCUACAAACCUGACUACUGCCUCACUUCCUCGCAGCCCCCCUGGGUGGAGAUAGGGCAGGGUUGAUUCUAUAUCCCAAACAGCAGUGGGGAGUCUGUAAAUAUGGAGACAUAGGCCAUCCCAGGGAGUCCCCCACCCUUGGAACAUGGGGAACCUUGUUUUACAUGUGGUACCCAGAGUCAUACAGUGUGUUCCCGAGGUCAUUCAGAUGCCUUAGGGCAGAGUCUUGACCCAGAACUCAGUUCCUGUCAGCAUGCAGCCAGGGAACUUUCCACAGUGCUCCAUGGGCUCACCAGGCUGCUGGCCAUUUGUAAUGACCCAACAGAGUCAAAGCUUUCUUCACUCCCUUCCCAUCUCCCUGCCUUGUCCCCUGCCUGAAACAUUCUUUUCUUGCAAAACUGAACCUCCCGUAAACUGCACUGGUACCGCCCAGUGCUUUUCUGCCUUUGCUCCUUCUGUACCUCUGCCUGGAAUUCCCUUUCUCCUCCUGUGUUCAUUGUCUGGCUGAUUUCUCCUUUUUCAAGACUCACGCUCAAAAAGGCCUUGCUGGCAGUCACCACCCCAGCCCUCUGUGGCACAUGUGCAGUGUACACACACGUCACCCCUCCCCGUGCCUACCUCAAUGAUGGCAGUUUUUUGUGUUGUAGCAACAUGCCCUAUCCAGUAGACUCUAAGCUCCAGAAAGACGUGCCUGUGUUUUAGUUUUAUUUGCACCAGCAGUGGUGUGUGGCCCAAAGGCAAUUAACAGAUGUCUGAACUAAACCAUAUUCAUAUUUUUUGUAAGUUUACUGCAUGCUUUAUGGAAGAGUGUUUGUAUUCCAGACUCAAAGGGGAGCUCUCUCUGCCAGACCUCCAGCCCUCAUUUUGGUACUAGCGAAUUUAAUAUAUAUCCUCAGACAUUUUAAAUUUUUGAUUAACCUUGUCUUUUGAGAUAAAACAUUACUUAGAGAAAAGCGGAAGUCUAAUACAGAAGCAUUUCUGUGCCUGUGUUCACUUCAGUUAUCCUCAUCUGAACCUCCCUUUGGCAUGGUUCUGCCCUCCUUGAGGUCUGUUGGCUGUGCUGCACUCUGCAUUUCGUGGUUUUACAGGGUAGGAGAAUGCAUUUUGGUUUAUUUCUAUUAACCUUGGUGAUGGUGAUAUAUGACCUCUUGGUGACUUUUUUUUUUUUUUUUUUUUUUUUUUUUUGCCAUGGAACUUUUUUGGCUGGUAUCGUCAAUCACAUUUGGUGGAAAGAGCAGGCUGGGAGAGGGUAUGGGCUGCACCACCAAUAGAGUGUGUAGGUUACCAUCUAGAACUCAGUUUCCUUGUCUAUAUAAUGGGUAUAUUGAAAUAAAUGAUCUAAAAGGUGUCUUAUUUUUAAAACCUAUAAAUUCUUGGCUCAGUUUCCUUUUGAUGUGGCUUUCUCAUAAAUGUUAAGUCUAGAUAAAAUUUUUUCGUAAAUGCAUUAUCCUGUGCUCAUACACCUUAAAGUUCUUGUCUCUCACUUUUUUAAGCCUAUAAAAUCAUUCAGCAUUAUAUUCAGAAACAGCAUCAUGGGCCAACAUGAAGAUUUAGUUUGUAUUCCCACUUAGAGCAUUUAUAAAAAUUUUAAAUAAAUUAGGUCCCAUAUACUUGAAUCUUGUCAACCUGUUCUCCACACAUAAAUGUGCCCAUCUUCUCUUUGCAAACCAUCUUUCCUCAUGAGUAGAUUGCACGCCUAAUCUGAAAACCAAUAUUGGGUUUUUAAAAAAUACCCUUAGGUACAGAAUGGAGUCAAAUGCAAUAAACUACAUCUUUAGGUUAUCUCUUCUCUGCAAGUUCCCAAUUGAAGAAUACUGAAAGAUUAGUAUGAUUUUAUUUCUCUUUUGAGAAAUACCACCUCCCAUCCAACAGGCCAAGUCUAUUUCUACAGUCAGUGAGUCUUGCCUUUAUUCUGCUGUUAGAUUUCUAGGUCUGGAUGUAAGCCCAGUCCAGGGAAGUCGGCAUCCCUUCUGGGAUUCUUUCUGUGCAUGAGGAUGGCCACUGAGCCCAAGCAAUCCUCUAUUUGUAAUUCCACUCAUAUGUUUUGGCAAACAUGUCCUAGGAUUCCUCCAAAUGUUGGGGUGGACACCCUAGUUCAAGAUUAGAUCAGGAACACCCAGGCUUUUGCCACAGUUUGACCUAAGACAUUAUCCUUUGCUUCAGAAGAUCAUUUGAGAAUUGGAAUUUACAUCCAUUGUGCCUUUCCAUUUUUCUUAUUUAAUUCUUUGAAGAAUAAUAUGAGGAGACUUUAAUAUAAAAGAAAAAAUCCCAUCAAGAGUCAGAAAGGAUUUCCUGUUACGGCUGCAAAUCUUGGUAAACGCACUUUGUUUUUGUAAACCAUGCCCCACCCCCAACCCCUAGUGAGAACUCGUAACCUGGGGAAUUUCUCUUGAGAGCAUACCAAAAAUAGCAUCAGUGCCUUCUCUUACCCCUACCCCAACUUUCGCCCUCCAUGUAGUGCCAGCAAAUACAGCUAUAGAAAAAAUAACCACUUGUUUUUAUCCUAAGUUUUUAUGGGCCAAAUCUUGAAGGUGGAUGUGGGUAUGUGAAAGAGUUUAAUGCCAAAUACAAAGCCCACUCGGAAAUGAGUAAGGUGACUACAAAUGAAAAUGGAUGUUUCUUUCUUCCUUUCGGGAAAGUGCUAUGUAAAUAAAGGCAGUGUUUGCUUCCUCUACUAAAAUUUAUUUCUUCAGUUUUUAAAUAAGAAAUCCACUCAAGAAGUUAUUCUUACUGAGGAUUUGGUCACUGUUAAGAUUAUAGGAACUAUUAACUACUGCAUUAUCUUUUGCUUACAAGAGAACAAACCCAAAUCAAAAUAACUUGGAAACAAGGCAGAGAGCUGUUGGCUGACACUGCCCACUCAAGCAUGGGAGAGGUGACUCUGGCCCUGAAGAUGACUGGAACCAAAGACUGAGGACUUGGAGGCUUUCUUCUCUCCUUGCCUCUCAUCUCUGCUUCUGUCUGCUGAUUGUGGUUGUCCUCUCCGGGACCAUGACUGGUCGCACAGCCUUUAUGUGUCAGUGCCAGAGCCUGGACCCGGGUCUGUAGAUGUGUGAACCGUGAGCUGAUACCAUGGAUUUUCAAAGAUUUACAUCCCAUCAAUGUUUAUACCUUCUUGAGAAGAAAUUUGUGUCAAAGCACACGCCUCCUUUCAAGACUACCUCCUCGCCGUGCUGCGUGAUAGCGCUAGUAUCACAACCAAAACACAUGAUACAGAAGGAGGCCAGUAUCUGUGUGACACCUUUCCUGCUGCACUCUCAGUGGGCAGUACUCCCCAAUGAUCACCUGGUCAUCUGUCCUGCUCGCAGGCUUCAGGCUCUUGUGCGUUGGCCAUGAAGCAAAGAAAGGCUGUUGCAUGAAAUAACCUCCUUCUGACUCCACCCUUGCAUUUGUGAGAUGUAAACAGCAGUGUUACCAAGAGAUCUUCCAGGGAGCACGUUGCAGGUAGCCCUGUCAUGCUGGCUGCUUUUUUCCGUUAGGUUAGUUGUGAAUAACGAAUAAAUGUCUAUGCAGGGCCAGGCAUGUCUAUGCUGGCUCACGCCUGUAAUCCUAGCAGUUUGGGAGGCUGAGGUGGGCAGAUCACCUGAGGCUGGGAAUUCAAAAACAGCCUGAACAUAGUGAAACCCCGUCUCUACUAAAAAUGCAAAAAAUUAGCUGGGCAUGGUGACGCACGCCCGUAAUCCCAGCUACUUGGGAGGCUGAGGCAUGAGAAUCACUUGAACCCUGGAGGCGGAAGUUGCAGUAAGCAGAAUUGUGCCACUGCACUCCAGCCUGGGUAACAGAGGGAGGCUCUGUCUCAAAAUAAAACAAAACAAAAAAUGUCUAUGCAGUAGGAAAAAUAAUCUAUUUGGUUUAAUAUUUAGGUCUCUGCAAGGGUAGCAUCCAGAGGCUUCUCUUUUCAUUCUUGUUUUUCUGACUGUGAAAAAAUCAUUCUACUGUGUCCAGUGAUGUCCAGAUACCAAGAAAUAACUAUUUUAAACAUAUGGUGAAUAUUGUUAAAGCACAUGGUGAUGGUCAUUUAAUUAUGAUUUGAUUCCGUCAAUAUGCAAAAGAGUUCUAAGAAUGUUGGGUUAACCUUAGCAAGCAUUCCCAGAUAGGAAAUGUGUUUUCUGCUACCAUUGAUAGGAUUUUUUAAGGGUUUUACUGGCAGUUAUCCACUUUGGACUUCAUACAGCAGUCUGAGUAUAUGCCCACACCUGAGUUGUUGCUCUAACAGUGAGAUUAGGGGAUGCCAGGGAGAAUCUGUGUGAUGACUUAAUUGUAAGGGAGAGCUUUCUUUCUAAAGGUGUGGAUUGUUCUCUUUGAAAUUUGUAUACUAAAAGACUCCUAUUAUCUUAUGCCAAACCUGUGCUAAUUUCUUAAUGACAUGUUAGUUAAAAUAACAAUGUGGAAGAUUGGCUAAGGAUGCCACAGUAUUCAUAAUAAACCUGUUCUUAUGCAGCAAGGUGGUAAAUCAUGAAUAUCAAAGUUCUGAUCAUACUAAUUUGAAUUAAUUUAGCAUAGUGGAAAGUAUGAAGACAUAGUUUUUCCAAUGCAUAUGUCACUUCUUAGCCUAAAAUUUCUAUGAGUGGGGCAAGUACAUUUUUUACAUGUACAGUGGCAAAAUUAUGCUGUGUACUGCUCUCUACCUUGUGUUCUGGUUCUGCGUGUGUUUUCUCUGCCCUGUUAGGAACCUGCAAGUGGAGUAUCUUAUUCUUUUGGGCUCCUCCCACCAUAGCUGGCACAGAGGAGCCCAAAAAGUACUUCCAAGGGGAGAGGGAAGUGGAAAAUAAUGCAUCAUCAGUGUGUCAAGUACUAUUAGGCAUCUUUUAUACACGAUCCUGUUGAAUCCUAACAACCCUUGUAAGGUAGAAAUCAUUCCUGGUUUAUAGGUGAGAAAAAUGAGAUUCAGGUGUUUAGAACACCCUGCUCCGAUUCCCACUGAUGGGAUAUAGACUCCGGGUCUGUGUCUCUCUGUGGUGGACACUUUGGAUCCUGAAACACUAUCUUCAGGAAUGAUUGAGGCUAAGCCAUGUGGCUGAGCAGUGAUGCACGGCCUCACAGAUUGAAGGUCAGAGCAUUGCUGGGCAGAGGAUGAGUUUAGAGGUCAAACAAACUUGGUUUCAAACUCCAGGUCCACACUUAGUAGUGUGUGGCUUUAGGCAAAAUACUUCCCUCUCUGUGCUUUAUUUCCAUAGCUAGAGAAUAGAGAAUGAUGAGGAUAUUACCCUCCUUGCAGAGAAAGAUCACAGUGUCCCCAGUUAACAUGCAGAGAAAUAGGAAAUACAGUGACUCAAGUCGCUUGGCAAAGACAGGGCUGUGGCAGGUUGAGAAUUCACGUCUUUGACUCCUGUCACCUGUUACCUGUCCAGAUGCCAAGUCUGGGUACAGUUUGAUGACAGAACUGCCAUCACCUGCCACUCACCCUUGGUUAGCCCUUAGCGGCCCACAUAACUUGGUGGCUCUUACAACCCGAUCCUAGAGUCCCAUGGCUGAUUCAUGCUCUUUUUCUCUAUUGUGUCGUCUGUGUAUUCACUCCUGUGUUCUCGAGGAAGAUUCAUUCUAGAGGGUAAAAGAGAGUCCACAAGACUUGUUCUUAAUGUAUACACCCCACACAGGACAAGAAGGAAGUUGAAGGUGGCAGCCUAUUGUAUUUGGGUGAUGUGCAGCUGAAGAGCUAGUUUUUGAGCACUUACUCUGUAAUAGGUGCUUAGAGGGGCACAGAAGUAUCUGCAAAACAGGCCAAUCUUUGAGGGGUUUAUCUAUUUAGGUAGAAAGGGCACAUCCAUGAUAUUUAAUAACAAUUUGAGAUAGUCUAGAACAGUGGCAUAUGGUGUGGGGGAGGGGGAGGCAAUCAGGGAGCAUUGUCUGUAGAGGAUCUGAAAGCAAAAAUGAAAUUACCUCAGUUUUUUUUAUUAUCAUGGUGAUAAAAUAUUCCUCCACCAGACCCAACCACUUCUACCACUCCCACCUUGUCCCUAAGUCCUGUACUGGAUCAAUAAUCAGCUGGCAAAAUGAGUUGAUAUCAGUGACAUGUUUGGGAGGUCAAGCUGGCAGUGGUCAGUGUGGACUGAACUGUUGGGGAAGGCUGCGUGGAAGUCCCCUCCCCUCCCUCUCAGUUAGGACAGGACACCAGGAGAGCAGUCUGUGACCCUGAAGACUGCAGCAGUCCCUGAUGCCCGUGCGAGCCGUGGGCCAGGAAAGUGCUUUCUGUGCAUUGCCUCACCACGUGAGAGGCUGGUAGCCCAAGAUGGUUCUGUAGCUGAGGAAUCUGGGUGAGUGACAGGUGUCCUCCUAUGCGAGAUUAGGGGAGUAACGCCCAGCUUUCAGACAGCCAGCAGGGGGGCUCAGUAGUGCUAAUGCCAAGCCCUUCAUGCAGAGAAGUGACUUAAGUGUCAGUCACUACUUUGUGCCAGAGGUAAAUCUCUCUGCAGAGGGAAAUGUUGGCACAUAACUGAUAAAAACCAGUGUCUAGGUAGCCCUCCUGGGCACAACCGUCCUCAUUUUUUCUUUUACUUGACUCUCCACUAAAUCCUUUUUGCCCGAAACUUUGUAGAAUUGGUAUUUAUUGAUUUGUAUCAGCUAAGAGUUGGCUAUUUAGUCUCUGACAUGCUCUUUAUGGCUGAAGAAAAACAGGUAACUCCUUCACUGAGGAGAGAUUAAUUCCCUUGAAAGGAAGACAAAAGUUUUCCUGGACAACUUUGGAAAGGUGUGAAACAUUAAAUAUCUAUGACAGCAAGACACGGGAAUACACGAACCUGUGUUAAGGCCUGAUCCCUUCUGGGCCAGGCACAUAAGCUGAAAACGGUACCUGAGCAAUUUCUGAGUAUGUCAUGAAAAGGCACUGAAAUACAGAAUUUUCUCUAUGGAAAAGAGUGUCCCGGCUUGGAAACUGUGUGUCUGAAGCAAAAAAUUUCCUCAAAAUUGUUCUGCAAAAAGGGAGUUGCCGUCUAGUAGGGUCCUUACAAAAUCAUUAGAGUUCGCAAAAAAAAAAAAGCUAGAUAGAUGAGAUCCAUGAAUGACUGGCUGAGAACAGAUGGGGAAGGCGAAUUCGCCUGAAAUUCUCUCAGUCAAUGCAUAUUAUGAAUGCUUAUCGAGGUUGCUUCAUGAAAAGGGGUUAAAUUUUAAAAAAGAGAGGCAAAGAAAUUGAAUAUAGAUUUAGUACUUGUUCCUGAGGUUAUAACUUCAGAGUUGCCAGAUAUUGAACGUUGAAUUAGUUAGGGUAGCGCUAGUUGUUGUAACAAAUAAACCCAAAUAUGUACCGUGACUCAAACAUGAUGGAAGAUUAUUUUCCACUUGUAUAAAGCCCGAAGUGGGCGUGUUUAUGUGAAACCUGGUGAUUCGGCGACCCAGCCUCUUCCUGUCUGUGGUUCCACUUUAUUUAACAGGCAGUUGCUAAGGUCACGUACUUGUCAGCAUUGAACUGGUGGAAGCAGAAAGAUCAUGGAGGACUGCAUAUGGGAGAUUUUGAUAGGCUAGGCCUGGGAGUGGAACGUGUCACUUCUCCUAUUUCAUUAAGUACAGUUCAGCCUUAUGGUCACGCCCACCUACCUUGAAGGCUAGGAAAUGUAGCCCAGCUCUGUGGUUGGCAAGAAGAGGAAAUGGGUUUCCUGAGGAGCUAGCUGCCCUCUGUCAUUUGAAAUUUUAUUAAGACCAUUGAAGGUCACUUUAAAAGUAACACGAUCACUAAUAUGCUGUGUGGAUCGUGAAUAUAUUUUUGCCUCUGAGGGCAACUUUCUUGGUCACUCUGAAGGGCUUCUGAUGGCCUAGGGUAGGUGUUUCAGUGGCAGUGUUGCACGUCGUUUUGAAAAGUGCUGUGUCAUAGGCAACUUGGAAGGUAAGGAGGUGCUGUGCUUAGAAGAAUGGUUAGACAACUCACAAAUUGAGGACAGCCAUGUGGACACUACCUGGGAAGACUGUGAGCUAAAUUGCUUCAUGGAAGGUGGACAUGGAAUGAAAAGUACUAUUUCUAACUCAUAGUGUAUGUGAUUUCAUGUGAGUCAUAAAGUUUAUUUGGGCAGAUUGACCAAAAUUUGUAGGGGGUAGGGAUUUUCUCAUUGGGAAAAGAAGAGGGCUGUCUUAUCUGGGAGAUGCCCUAUAUCCAAGCAUGCAUGGGAAUUAGAAGUUAAUCAAAGAAAUAAAGAAUUAACGAUGGAGGAGGGGAGCCUCACUCUUGCAAUGUGGGAGAAGUUGGUCAGAUGUGCUGGAAACACACUUAUACAUCUGGGAGGAAAAAGAGAGGUGAAAGCUGGGGAAUGGGGUUAGUGCCAAUCCUGCACUCUGACUGAGGGAAUGAAAAGAGACCCAGGGGAUUGGGCAAGGGGCGGGCAGGUGACCUGUCCCUGGGAGAAGCCCUUGGCAGUGCCAGUCUUGUGGUGGGUACCCCCGUGUGCUCUCUUUUUUUUCUGUGUGAUGUGGGCAGGUUCCCCAACCUCUCUGCAUCUCUGUGUGUAAGAGUCUGUGAGAUGAUGUGUUCACAGAGCUGUGCACAUCGUAGGGGCUUUAUGAAAGUUUCUUCUCCCAUCUUCUGUGCAGCUACUCACCAGCCCCAUUGUUGGGGAUCAUUGUCUCCAUAAUUGGCUGUGAGUAACUGGGGAGAUGUUCUCCCCUAUAAAAUGCAACUUCAUGACAAAAA
Long non-coding RNA from Gorilla gorilla gorilla (western lowland gorilla), 12263 nucleotides. RefSeq lists it as uncharacterized. NCBI's taxonomy places the organism in Eukaryota, Metazoa, Chordata, Mammalia, Primates, Hominidae. The record is from RefSeq and is a predicted model, not a curated record. The transcript has 3 exons.